CCCUUAGAUGUUCUGGGCCGCACGCGCGCUACACUGACGAAUGCAACGAGCUUAUAACCUUGGCCGAAAGGUCUGGGUAAUCUCCAAAUUUCGUCGUGAUGGGGAUAGAUUAUUGCAAUUAUUAAUCUUCAACGAGGAAUGCCUGUAAGCGCAAGUCAUCAGCUUGCGUUGAUUACGUCCCUGCCCUUUGUACACACCGCCCGUCGCUCCUACCGAUUGAAUGGUCCGGUGAAGCGUUCGGACCGUGGCCUUUGGACGGUUCGCCGUCUGUUGGCUGCGGGAAGUUCGUUAAACCUUAUCAUUUAGAGGAAGGAGAAGUCGUAACA
This 326-nucleotide ribosomal RNA is filed under the name uncultured eukaryote. RNAcentral describes it as "partial 18S ribosomal RNA". It matches the Rfam family "Eukaryotic small subunit ribosomal RNA", at positions 1470 to 1796 of the family's 1831-position model. The record is from RNAcentral.